Oryza rufipogon (brownbeard rice) is the source of this 200-nucleotide microRNA precursor. It matches the Rfam family "MIR812 microRNA precursor family". The record is from Rfam. Lineage: Eukaryota; Viridiplantae; Streptophyta; Magnoliopsida; Poales; Poaceae.
UUUAAAUGCAGUUGUGGAUUUUCGUAUUCAAUGUUUGACCAUCCGUUUUAUUUUUUUAUAAUUAGUAUUUUAAUAAUACAUUAUGGUAUUAGUAAAAAAUACAUUACACUCGAGUUAUUUUUUUUAAUUUUUUUUCAUAAAUUUGUUAAAUAAAACGAGCAAUCAAAUAUUGGACACGAAAACUUGUAACUACACUUACA